Non-coding RNA from Chiloscyllium plagiosum (whitespotted bambooshark), 2609 nucleotides. The record is from RefSeq and is a predicted model, not a curated record. Lineage: Eukaryota; Metazoa; Chordata; Chondrichthyes; Orectolobiformes; Hemiscylliidae.
UGUUCCAGCACCUUUCCUCUUAACGGGGAAGGGAUAACAACUCUCACUCUCCCCAUGAUACACCCAUCUGAUACAGACAGCUCCCACAUCCUGGAUAGGUAAGGGUGUAAUUCUGGGCAGUUUCUAUGACAAAUCCUUCCUCUCAGGACCAAGUCCAUCAUUUGGCUCAAAACUGAGUAGUGCUGCGCACCUGCCUCACUAUCACUAACACUGCCGUACCUUGUCUUUCUGGGAAAAGUAUAUAAUUUUCAGGAACAACUGUGUCCCCUGGUGGUGACAACCUUCACAGGGCAUCUGUACAGCUGUGCUUCUCUGCCUGUUACUAACAGAUUUCCUGAAGAUUGCCGACAGAUCCAGUGUCAAUAUCUGCAUGUGUACUGUCACUAUCGAUGGCAUCCCCAUAUAUGGUCAAAAAUGAAGCUUAAAGGUCUGUGGUUGGUCAGCAGCACAAAGCGCCUGCCCUAAAGGAACUGGGUGAACUUCUUAAUACUAACCCAAUGUUCAAUCCUUCCCUUUCCACUUGGGCAUAUUUCUCCUCCAUCUUUAUUAGUGACCUGGAUGUGAAAACAAUGGGCCUUUCCUCUCCAUUCAGCAGGAUGUGUGACAGUGCAGCCCCAACUGCAUAGGACGAGGCCUCACACACCAAGUGCAGUGGCAGCUGCAGGUGAAAAGGAGUCAACCUUUCCAACCUUUAAGGGCUUGCUUCACCUGGUGAGCCUCCUCACAUUCCUAGAUCCAUUUUCACUGCUGCCUUUUGCUCAGCCACUAAUGCAGGGCUUUCAGCACAGUUGCCAGAUCGAUAUGAACUUGCCAUAAUAAUUCACAAGGCUCAAGAACGAUCUCAGUUGAGACAUAUUCUCUGAUCCAGAAGAUUUCAUGAUAGCCUCCAUCUUCUUGGGUGCCUUGUGUAAUCCCUCACCUUUGAUUACAUGACCCAGGUACUCAAUACAGUCCCAAAAAAACCUUACAUUUCUCCCUUUUAACCUGUAGGCUACUAGGCUUCUGCAAUCUUUUUAGGGUUUCUUCUGGGUUUCUCAAAUGCUUCUCUUCAGAGGAUUCAGUAAUCAAAAUAUUGUCCACAUAACACUAGACGCCUGGCAACUCCUUCACAAUUUGGUCCAUGGCCCUCUGGAAUAGAACUGGCACUGACACGAUGCCAAACGAAACCCCUCAUAACCAUACAGCCUCCUAUGGGUCACUAUCGUCAGCAUCAGCUUGAACUUCUUCAUGAACCCCUUCUGUAGGUAGGCCUGCAACAGAUCCAUUUUUGAGAAUUUCUUUCCCCCAGCCAGUCAACUGAACAGAUCCUCAAUGAGUGGAAGUGGGUAUUGAUCUGCACUCAGGACUGAGUUGACUGUGACCUUAGUCACCACAAUCCUGACUGCACCAUCUGUUUGUAAGACCAGAAUGAUGGGAGGGGCCUAUUCACUGAUGAUACUGGUCCCAAGUUCUCCAGCCAUUUCAGUUCCACCUCACUCCACAGGUGGCAUACUGGACUGUAUAAAACCUCAAUUAAGUCUCUGGCUUCAGCUGCAGUUUAGUUUUGACUCCUUUCAUUUCCCUGGGGUUUCCUUGAAGACAUCUUUAGGAGCUCUGGCAAACUCAUGCCUGAGUCUGCCAGCCCAUUAACCACAUGUAGUUCAACUUUAUUUUCUGUAACCAGGAGUCUCUGGAUGAUGAAAGUUCAGAAUCAACUGGAGAAAGAAAAUGCCAAAACAAGCUAAACUUUGGACACAAGCUUUUAAUCUCAGGUUUGAGGACAAAGAGAAAAGAGAGAAGAAUUGAACAUUGCGACUGCCAAAUGGAGCCCAGGACAGUAUUGCCAUCACCCAGGAAAACUAGUCUUGCUAAAUCAUAUCAACAGAAGCUACAAAAUAAAUCAGUUUACCGAAUCCUUCUAUGGGUAGUUCACCUAUAACACAGUAGUUGCAUUGCCAUGUGACACUGUGUUGUAGAGAAUCACACAAUGUAAAUAAUGGGACCUAUGAGAAAAACAAGGUUGGGGUGAAUCACCAGAAAUACCAGUAAAAAUCAAAAUAAAGAUAGGAGUUACCCAAUGAUAGCACAGUCUAAGUAAACCUUUAAAUCAAUUAUUUUAAUGAAAUAAUACAGUAAAUGUAACACUUUAACACUAAAAUCACUGACUAUAGCACUGUACCUUCCAUGAAGCUCUUCACCAGAAAGUGUAUGAGCCGACUGACCAUGUGAUGCUGUGGCGGAAUGUCCAGUCCUCAUCACGAUUCUCCCUGUUUGAAAUAUAGUUCCUUCUAAAUGUAGAUGACAUUCCCAGUUUCGGGCUAAGUUUCAAGACUUGCAGAGCUGAUUGCAUUCCUGCUUUAGCUGAAUACACUGAAUUUCCAUUUUGCAGAGAGAGGAUCCUCAGGCUGGGUUUUACCGUACACUGGUGCUGGGGAUGGAAACGCGUAACAGCGAACGGGAGUUUGCUUUAUUAAAAAAAGGUUCACAAUUCACAAAUCGCAUUACAACCAAAUCACGUUUAAUAAACGUGUGUUAUCGGAGAACUACAUGUACCUCAAGAAUAUAAAAAUGCUUUUCAUUGUGUAUUGUCUUGUUACAUUUUUUAUAAGAGGCAUUGAGUCUUGGUAUCA